Molecule: ribosomal RNA, 253 nt
Filed under: uncultured bacterium
Lineage: Bacteria
Description: partial 16S ribosomal RNA
Rfam family: Bacterial small subunit ribosomal RNA
Source: RNAcentral
UACAGAGGAUGCAAGCGUUAUCCGGAAUGAUUGGGCGUAAAGCGUCUGUAGGUGGCUUUUUAAGUCCGCCGUCAAAUCCCAGGGCUCAACUCUGGACAGGCGGUGGAAACUACCAAGCUGGAGUACGGUAGGGGCAGAGGGAAUUUCCGGUGGAGCGAUGAAAUGCGUAGAGAUCGGAAGGAACACCCAAGGCGAAAGCACUCUGCUGGGCCGACACUGACACUGAGAGACGAAAGCUAGGGGAGCAAAUGGG